UUUGCACAAUACACUGAGAGAAACUUGGCCGCUGCUCGUGCUGCUCUAAUCUGUUUUUCCUCUUGAAGAGCUCGCAGCAGGACGGCUGCCUAUGGAGCAAUUAAAGCCUCUUUCUUAAUCCAGCCGCCCCUGAUGCUUAAAGACCGCAAACAACUGGAACUCCUCUUCUUCCUCCUCCUCCUCCUCCUCCACCACCUCCUCCUUCUCCUCCACCGCGCUAGACAGCAAGUGCAACAGUAGCAUACUCACCCCCAGUUUCUUACUCCGUAUCCUCACGUAUCCCUGUUUGACUAUGUCGUUGAAGUUGGAAGCCAUGGUGAGGGGAAGCGGGUAGCUUCCUGCCCGAGGUAGCGAAAUGUUUUACUUGAGGGUCGGUCGGUGAGACAUCCAGCAGCAGGAGAGCGGGCGGUGGGCAACCUGCUCCUGUGUCAGCGCUCAGGCUGCCCGGCUUCAGCGGCGCAAUCUAUCCGCGAGAGGAGGGAGAUACCAUUCAGCUGAUACACUUCAGCCGGAGAGGAUAGCAAAGGAGGAGAGGACAGAAGAGGCGCGCUUCCUGGACCACACCAUCCCCGAAACUCCCUCCACUGUGACGGUCAACCACAGACAGUUGCUACAGAAGACCAGACAUGAAGCUAGUAGGGAUUCUUGCUAAAGGACUCCACAGCAAAGCAGAUGCUAAAUGUCAAGGGGGUGUAAUCUAGGGUCUUGAUCUCACAGUGCCACCCUACAGCCCCUCAUCCUGAAGCUCUCUUAACACUAUGUAAUUAUACAUUCAUCAACACGUGGUGCUGUGUCUCUUUAUCUCAUCACUGCCUCGCCCCCUGAAAAAAGAGUGGAGACAGACAAGCGUGACUAAUAUGUAUGCCCUGUAGAGGGCAAUAUUGUCUGCUGUGUUAG
Long non-coding RNA from Perca fluviatilis (European perch), 897 nucleotides. RefSeq lists it as uncharacterized. The transcript has 3 exons. Lineage: Eukaryota; Metazoa; Chordata; Actinopteri; Perciformes; Percidae. The record is from RefSeq and is a predicted model, not a curated record.